GAUGAAGAACGCAGCGAAAUGCGAUAAGUAAUGUGAAUUGCAGAAUUCAGUGAAUCAUCGAAUCUUUGAACGCACCUUGCGCCCUUUGGCUAUUCCGAAGGGCAUGCCUGUUUGAGUAUCAUGAACACCUCAACUCUCAUGGUUUGCCAUGAUGAGCUUGGACUCUGGGGGUCUUGCUGGCUUAUGGUCAGCUCCUCUUAAAUGAAUCAGCUUUCCAGUGUUUGGUGGCAUCACAGGUGUGAUAACUAUCUACGCUUGUGGUGUCCUCCCAGGUAACCUUCAGCAAUGGAGGUUGCUGGAGCUAAUAAAUGCACAUCUCUCAUUGUGGAGAUGGCCUUUUAGAUGUUUGAUCUCAAAUCAGGUAGGACUACCCGCUGAACUUAAGCAUAUCAAUAAGCGGAGGGA
RNAcentral lists this unclassified non-coding RNA (405 nucleotides) under soil metagenome. Its description in RNAcentral is "partial contains 5.8S ribosomal RNA, internal transcribed spacer 2, and large subunit ribosomal RNA". The stretch from base 1 to 121 matches the Rfam family "5.8S ribosomal RNA", at positions 35 to 154 of the family's 154-position model. The record is from RNAcentral.